Molecule: small RNA, 523 nt
Filed under: Fusarium chlamydosporum
Lineage: Eukaryota; Fungi; Ascomycota; Sordariomycetes; Hypocreales; Nectriaceae
Description: eukaryotic LSU rRNA
Rfam family: 5.8S ribosomal RNA (bases 153-306)
Source: RNAcentral
GGGAAUACAAGAUUACACUCCCAACCCCUGUGACAUACCUAUACGUUGCCUCGGCGGAUCAGCCCGCGCCCCGUAAAAAGGGACGGCCCGCCCGAGGACCCCUAAACUCUGUUUUUAGUGGAACUUCUGAGUAAAACAAACAAAUAAAUCAAAACUUUCAACAACGGAUCUCUUGGUUCUGGCAUCGAUGAAGAACGCAGCAAAAUGCGAUAAGUAAUGUGAAUUGCAGAAUUCAGUGAAUCAUCGAAUCUUUGAACGCACAUUGCGCCCGCCAGUAUUCUGGCGGGCAUGCCUGUCCGAGCGUCAUUUCAACCCUCAAGCUCAGCUUGGUGUUGGGACUCGCGGUAACCCGCGUUCCCCAAAUCGAUUGGCGGUCACGUCGAGCUUCCAUAGCGUAGUAAUCAUACACCUCGUUACUGGUAAUCGUCGCGGCCACGCCGUAAAACCCCAACUUCUGAAUGUUGACCUCGGAUCAGGUAGGAAUACCCGCUGAACUUAAGCAUAUCAUAACACGCGAAGGAAG